RNAcentral lists this ribosomal RNA (636 nucleotides) under Sordariomycetes sp. RNAcentral's name for it is "eukaryotic LSU rRNA". The stretch from base 284 to 437 matches the Rfam family "5.8S ribosomal RNA". Lineage: Eukaryota; Fungi; Ascomycota; Sordariomycetes. The record is from RNAcentral.
AGCGGAGGGAUCAUUACUGAGUUAUUGAAACUCCAAACCCUUUGUGAACCUUACUGUCGUUGCCUCGGCGUGAGCUACGGCUACCCUGUAGUUACCCUAUAGCUACCCUGCAGCUACCCUAUAGUUGACCAGUAGCUACCCUGUAGUUACCCUAUAGCUACCCUGCAGCUACCCUAUAGUUGACAUGUAGCUACCCUGUAGCCGGCUUAUGGCCCGCCGAAGGACCGCUAAACUCUUGUUUUUUUACCACUGUUCCUCUGAAUUGUAAACUUAAAUAAGUUAAAACUUUCAACAACGGAUCUCUUGGUUCUGGCAUCGAUGAAGAACGCAGCGAAAUGCGAUAAGUAAUGUGAAUUGCAGAAUUCAGUGAAUCAUCGAAUCUUUGAACGCACAUUGCGCCCAUUAGUAUUCUAGUGGGCAUGCCUAUUCGAGCGUCAUUUCGACCCUUAAGCCCCUGUUGCUUAGCGUUGGGAAUCUACAGCGUAGUUCCUUAAAGUUAGUGGCGGAGUUAGGGUACACUCUCAGCGUAGUAAUCUUUCUCGCUCGUGUGGUGGCCCUGGCUGCUAGCCGUUAAACCCCUAUAUUUUCUAGUGGUUGACCUCGGAUUAGGUAGGAAUACCCGCUGAACUUAAGCAU